GCCAGGGUGGCAUAGUGGUUUGAGUGUUGGACUAGGACUCUGGAGAUCAGGGUUCAAGUCCCAGCUCAGCCA
Molecule: transfer RNA, 72 nt
Filed under: Phrynosoma platyrhinos (Desert horned lizard)
Lineage: Eukaryota; Metazoa; Chordata; Lepidosauria; Squamata; Phrynosomatidae
Description: tRNA-OTHER
Rfam family: tRNA
About the family: Transfer RNA (tRNA) molecules are approximately 80 nucleotides in length.
Source: RNAcentral